UUCUUUUUGGAGAGUUUGAUCCUGGCUCAGGACGAACGCUGGCGGCGUGCCUAAUACAUGCAAGUCGAGCGGACCUCAUAGGAAGCU
RNAcentral lists this ribosomal RNA (87 nucleotides) under Ureibacillus terrenus. RNAcentral's name for it is "partial 16S ribosomal RNA". It matches the Rfam family "Bacterial small subunit ribosomal RNA", at positions 1 to 84 of the family's 1533-position model. Lineage: Bacteria; Bacillati; Bacillota; Bacilli; Caryophanales; Caryophanaceae. The record is from RNAcentral.